Long non-coding RNA from Capsicum annuum, 708 nucleotides. RefSeq lists it as uncharacterized. The record is from RefSeq and is a predicted model, not a curated record. NCBI's taxonomy places the organism in Eukaryota, Viridiplantae, Streptophyta, Magnoliopsida, Solanales, Solanaceae. The transcript is spliced from 2 exons.
UUUGAAACAUCACUUUCAACUUGCGUAAAAAUUUACUAAAAUUUCAAUAACUAGUACACAUGAAUCAUAACUUCAAAUAUAUAAAGGAUUCAUCCCUAAUUAUCUUAAAAGAUUAAACCUUUGAGUUUAAAUUCUGGAUUCGCCUCCUAAUGUGUUUGACUGUUAUCGUUGUUGCAACUGAAUCUCAAAAUAUUACUUCUACUAGUUUUCAACCCCCCACCCCACCCCAUUCCCACGAAAAAGGGGUCUUUUUCAUUUUCUGUUUCUGAAAAACAUUGAUAAAUUAACUUUGUGGUGAUAUGCAGCUCUUCUCUACUUGCCUGCAGAUUCACCAGAUGCUCAAAUAUUCUAUAAUGGUUCAAGCGGCAUCGCUGGCAGUCCGCUUGCAAAUAGUCCCAUUCCUUCAGUUGGAUCUAGUCCCACGGCUGGCGCUGCAGGUGUAGCAAGUGCUCCAAAAUCUGCAGGCUGUCAUAUUGGAAAGAGAUGGUUUGGAUUAGAUGCAAUUGUUGGAGUUCUCCUUCUUUGGUCUUUUAACUUCAAAUUUCUUCAUAUGAAUCUAAAGCUUAUUUGUAUCAUUAUAAUUAAGUUACCAUUUUGUUAAAUGGAUGAUACUUGUAUUCAUGCUUUACUUGAGAUAGUCCUUCUAACUUGAUAGUAUUCACUAUAAUAUUUUCUCUAGUGAUAUAUUGAAAGCAUAUCUUUUUGUCA